GAUGAACGCUGGCGGCGUGCCUAAUACAUGCAAGUCGAGCGAACAGACGAGGAGCUUGCUCCUCUGACGUUAGCGGCGGACGGGUGAGUAACACGUGGAUAACCUACCUAUAAGACUGGGAUAACUUCGGGAAACCGGAGCUAAUACCGGAUAAUAUAUUGAACCGCAUGGUUCAAUAGUGAAAGACGGUUUUGCUGUCACUUAUAGAUGGAUCCGCGCCGCUUUAGCUAGUUGGUAAGGUACCGGCUUACCAAGGCAACGAUGCGUAGCCGACCUGAGAGGGUGAUCGGCCACACUGGAACUGAGACACGGUCCAGACUCCUACGGGAGGCAGCAGUAGGGAAUCUUCCGCAAUGGGCGAAAGCCUGACGGAGCAACGCCGCGUGAGUGAUGAAGGUCUUCGGAUCGUAAAACUCUGUUAUUAGGGAAGAACAAUUGUGUAAGUAACUAUGCACGUCUUGACGGUACCUAAUCAGAAAGCCACGGCUAACUACGUG
Molecule: ribosomal RNA, 497 nt
Filed under: uncultured bacterium
Lineage: Bacteria
Description: partial 16S ribosomal RNA
Rfam family: Bacterial small subunit ribosomal RNA
Source: RNAcentral